GACGAACCCUGGCGGCGUGCUUAACACAUGCAAGUCGAACGGAAAGGCCCUGCUUUUGUGGGGUGCUCGAGUGGCGAACGGGUGAGUAACACGUGAGUAACCUGCCCUUGACUUUGGGAUAACUUCAGGAAACUGGGGCUAAUACCGGAUAGGAGCUCCUGCCGCAUGGUGGGGGUUGGAAAGUAUCGGCGGUUGGGGAUGGACUCGCGGCUUAUCAGCUUGUUGGUGGGGUAGUGGCUUACCAAGGCUUUGACGGGUAGCCGGCCUGAGAGGGUGACCGGCCACAUUGGGACUGAGAUACGGCCCAGACUCCUACGGGAGGCAGCAGUGGGGAAUAUUGCACAAUGGGCGGAAGCCUGAUGCAGCAACGCCGCGUGCGGGAUGACGGCCUUCGGGUUGUAAACCGCUUUCGCCUGUGACGAAGCGUGAGUGACGGUAAUGGGUAAAGAAGCACCGGCUAACUACGUGCCAGCAGCCGCGGUGAUACGUAGGGUGCGAGCGUUGUCCGGAUUUAUUGGGCGUAAAGGGCUCGUAGGUGGUUGAUCGCGUCGGAAGUGUAAUCUUGGGGCUUAACCCUGAGCGUGCUUUCGAUACGGGUUGACUUGAGGAAGGUAGGGGAGAAUGGAAUUCCUGGUGGAGCGGUGGAAUGCGCAGAUAUCAGGAGGAACACCAGUGGCGAAGGCGGUUCUCUGGGCCUUUCCUGACGCUGAGGAGCGAAAGCGUGGGGAGCGAACAGGCUUAGAUACCCUGGUAGUCCACGCUGUAAACGGUGGGUACUAGGUGUGGGGUCCAUUCCACGGGUUCCGUGCCGUAGCUAACGCUUUAAGUACCCCGCCUGGGGAGUACGGCCGCAAGGCUAAAACUCAAAGGAAUUGACGGGGCCCCGCACAAGCGGCGGAGCAUGCGGAUUAAUUCGAUGCAACGCGUAGAACCUUACCUGGGUUUGACAUGGAUCGGGAGUGCUCAGAGAUGGGUGUGCCUCUUUUGGGGUCGGUUCACAGGUGGUGCAUGGCUGUCGUCAGCUCGUGUCGUGAGAUGUUGGGUUAAGUCCCGCAACGAGCGCAACCCUUGUUCACUGUUGCCAGCACGUUAUGGUGGGGACUCAGUGGAGACCGCCGGGGUCAACUCGGAGGAAGGUGGGGAUGACGUCAAGUCAUCAUGCCCCUUAUGUCCAGGGCUUCACGCAUGCUACAAUGGCUGGUACAGAGAGUGGCGAGCCUGUGAGGGUGAGCGAAUCUCGGAAAGCCGGUCUCAGUUCGGAUUGGGGUCUGCAACUCGACCUCAUGAAGUCGGAGUCGCUAGUAAUCGCAGAUCAGCAACGCUGCGGUGAAUACGUUCCCGGG
Molecule: ribosomal RNA, 1343 nt
Filed under: uncultured bacterium
Lineage: Bacteria
Description: 16S ribosomal RNA
Rfam family: Bacterial small subunit ribosomal RNA
Source: RNAcentral